This 88-nucleotide ribosomal RNA is filed under the name Dirofilaria immitis (dog heartworm nematode). Its description in RNAcentral is "partial 5.8S ribosomal RNA". It matches the Rfam family "5.8S ribosomal RNA", at positions 1 to 88 of the family's 154-position model. From Rfam's summary of the family: 5.8S ribosomal RNA (5.8S rRNA) is a component of the large subunit of the eukaryotic ribosome. It is transcribed by RNA polymerase I as part of the 45S precursor that also contains 18S and 28S rRNA. The record is from RNAcentral. Lineage: Eukaryota; Metazoa; Nematoda; Chromadorea; Rhabditida; Onchocercidae.
UAACUCUUAGCGGUGGAUCACUUGGCUCGUGGAUCGAUGAAGAACGCAGCUAACUGCGAUAAAUAGUGCGAAUUGCAGACGCAUUGAG